RNAcentral lists this unclassified non-coding RNA (1220 nucleotides) under uncultured fungus. RNAcentral describes it as "sequence contains 18S rRNA gene, ITS1, 5.8S rRNA gene, ITS2, 28S rRNA gene". The stretch from base 360 to 1220 matches the Rfam family "Eukaryotic large subunit ribosomal RNA", at positions 1 to 961 of the family's 3401-position model. Lineage: Eukaryota; Fungi. The record is from RNAcentral.
GGAUGGAUCAUUCCUGACAAACAAACACCAACCAAAGCACUAACUGAUCGAACACUCAGUCAAUACAUCUAUAACAUCAAAAACUUUCAGCGAUGGAUGACUCGACUCUCGCACCGAGGAAGGACGCAGCAAACCGCGAUAAGCAGUAUGUCUUGCGAAAUUUCGUGAUUCACCAGAUUUCUGAACGCAAAGGUACUUCUGGCCUAGGCUUGGAGUAUGUUUGGCUCGGUAUCAUAUAGAAAUUCAGGCAUAAUAGUCUGAGGGACACUCAGUGUUACCUACAUCACUGAUAAUGAUGCUACCUGCCGAUAAACACAGUCAGUAGACGUUUGUGAAAGGUAGUAGGCAUUUCGUUCUUGUGAUCCGAGCUCAAACAAGGUUACCCGCUGAAUUUAAGCAUAUAAUUAAGCGGAGGAAAAGAAACCAACUGGGAUUCCCGUAGUAGUGGCGAACGAAGUGGGAAAAGCCCGUGAUGCUAAUCCACCAUUGGUGGAGUUGUACAUCAGGGUCAAGGCUAUUCGACAAUGCGUGAAUAAGAUGCCUGGAAAGGUACGCCAGAGAAGGUGACAGCCCUGUUCUUGUCUCACAUUGUUCGAAGUACAGCCAUGAUCUAAUGAGUCACGCUCUUUGGGAGUAGAGCGCAAAAGGGGUGGUAACCUCCAUCCACGGCUAUAUAAUGGCGAGAGAUCGAUAGCAAACAAGUACCGUGAGGGAAAGUUGAAAAGCACUUCGAAAGGAGAGUUAAAAUACCUGAAAUCGCUGAGGGGGAAGCGGCUGUCCGUGACCCGGUGUAUCCAGCUUGCUGAGUACACUACUCGAUACCACUUAAUAGAUCGCCGAUCAACAGUCGCUUCGGCCGCUGUUGGGUUCCGCGUUACAUUGAGUGUGGCACACCAAAGUAUGUUGUCGAGAGUGGCACGUACAGACGACCCGUCUUGAAACACGGACCAAGGAGUUAAACGAAAGUGCGAGUGUAAGGGUGUCAAACCCAGACGCGUAGUGAAAGCAAAAGCUGUGAAUUUCCAUGCAACAGCGGCCGACUUGAAGUUCGAGCUUGAGCAUUUUCGUUUAGACCCGAAAGAUGGUGACCUAUACCUGAGUUGGGUGAAGCCAGGGGAAACUCUGGUGGAAGCUCGUAGCGAUACUGACGUGCAAAUCGUUCGUCAAACUUGGGCAUAGGGGCGAAAGACUAAUCGAACCAUCUAGUAGCUGGUUCCCUC